Molecule: ribosomal RNA, 520 nt
Filed under: uncultured Glomus
Lineage: Eukaryota; Fungi; Glomeromycota; Glomeromycetes; Glomerales; Glomeraceae
Description: SSU rRNA
Rfam family: Eukaryotic small subunit ribosomal RNA
Source: RNAcentral
AGCAGCCGCGGUAAUUCCAGCUCCAAUAGCGUAUAUUAAGUUGUUGCAGUUAAAAGCUCGUAGUUGAAUUUCGGGACCAAUUUGUUGGUCGUGCCUCGGUACGUACUGGUAUUAUUGGUUUCUCCCUUCUGAAGAACCUCGAUGUCAUUAAUUUGGUGUCGUGGGGAGUCAGGACUGUUACUUUGAAAAAAUUAGAGUGUUUAAAGCAGGCUCACGCUUGAAUACAUUAGCAUGGAAUAAUGAAAUAGGACGUUUGAUUCUAUUUUGUUGGUUUCUAGGGAUCGACGUAAUGAUUAAUAGGGAUAGUUGGGGGCAUUAGUAUUCAAUUGUCAGAGGUGAAAUUCUUGGAUUUAUUGAAGACUAACUACUGCGAAAGCAUUUGCCAAGGAUGUUUUCAUUAAUCAAGAACGAAAGUUAGGGGAUCGAAGACGAUCAGAUACCGUCGUAGUCUUAACCAUAAACUAUGCCGACUAGGGGAUCGGAUGAUGUUAAUUUUUAAUGACUCAUUCGGCGCCUUACG